AACCGGAUUAGAUACCCUGGUAGUUCCACGCGUAAAACGAUGUCGACUUGGGAGGUUGGUUCCCCUUGAGGAGUGGCUUCCGGAGCUAACGCGUUAAGUCGACCGCCUGGGGAGUACGCCGCAAGGUUAAAACUCAAAUGAAUUGACGGGGCCCGCACAAGCGGUGGAGCAUGUGGUUUAAUUCGAUGCAACGCGAAGAACCUUACCUACUCUUGACAUCCACGGAAUUUGGCAGAGAUGCCUUAGUGCCUUCGGGAACCGUGAGACAGGUGCUGCAUGGCUGUCGUCAGCUCGUGUUGUGAAAUGUUGGGUUAAGUCCCGCAACGAGCGCAACCCUUAUCCUUUGUUGCCAGCGAUUCGGUCGGGAACUCAAAGGAGACUGCCGGUGAUAAACCGGAGGAAGGUGGGGAUGACGUCAAGUCAUCAUGGCCCUUACGAGUAGGGCUACACACGUGCUACAAUGGCGCAUACAAAGAGAAGCGACCUCGCGAGAGCAAGCGGACCUCACAAAGUGCGUCGUAGUNCGGAUCGGAGUCUGCAACUCGACUCCGUGAAGUCGG
RNAcentral lists this ribosomal RNA (560 nucleotides) under uncultured Pantoea sp. Its description in RNAcentral is "bacterial SSU rRNA". It matches the Rfam family "Bacterial small subunit ribosomal RNA", at positions 771 to 1329 of the family's 1533-position model. Lineage: Bacteria; Pseudomonadati; Pseudomonadota; Gammaproteobacteria; Enterobacterales; Erwiniaceae. The record is from RNAcentral.